UGGCUAUCUGAGAAGGUGGUGGCACCAGACUGCUGUGGCAGCUCUUCGUGCCUGGAGAUUCCCUGCGUGUGGGGGAACCCCAGCACCGGUGCCGCACAGUCCCCAGCAUCACAAAACCCUCGUGCACUGCCGCAUAUCUGCAACGCCAGCUGGUGCUCCCCAUUUGUGGCAGCCUCUCUGGAAGCUCCAAGGCGGUGGGUUAGGUCAGUGGUGGGCUCACCUGCGCAACUCCUUCACCUAUUGAGCAAGCAGCUCUGGCUCAAGGAGCAGGUAAAAACCACAAAGAAUCGCAUGGCUGGCAAAAACAAGUCAGAAAACACACAGGAGGUCUGAGGUUCAACUCCCCAGCGUGGCAACAUCACCUUGGUUUCGUUGGCUCAAGUAACAUGGGCAUUUGGGAGGGAAAGUGAACGUAACCCAUCACACUUCUCUUUCCAGUAAAGAGAUUUACAAGCACAUCAUCUCGAAUGUGGAAGGCGAGGAAGAGCUGAUCCCCAGGGCAACAGACCCUGAUGGACAUCCCAGCUCUUCCUCUUUCCCCUCCCUCGGCUGCCGGGGGGGGGGUGUGGGGAGGGGGGGAGCCAUUUUCCCAGCAGUUGCUCCUGCCUUAACACCUCUUCCUCAGUUUGCUGACCUGCUGAAUGAGAGACGGGACGAUCUCCAGGGCACAUGGCGAAGAUUUGCUUAUUGCCUGGCUAGGACCUUGUUCCCCGCAAGAUGGAUGGGGGUUUCGUCCCAGGUGUCAAGGAGAAGUCGUCUUCAGAGUCAUGUCCAGUAUUACCAUAAAAGGUUGAAAAUCUUGCUGAUGAUAGCAUGGAUCUGCAAAUCGGCUAUGCAGUUUAAUCAAGAAAACUGAUAGGGAAAAAAUGAGCCAUUUCGCAAGGGAGGAGAUGUUUGUAAGCAUUUAAAUGGUUCUAUGUUUGAUCACACAAAAAUAAGCUGUUUCUAUGAUGUGAGGUUGCAGGAAACCCAAGGGACUAUUAUUCUGCGCUGUAAUGAGGGCUCAACAAGAUCAAAGAUCCCUUGUACUCAGCACUGAACAUAGGAAAAAACAAAGAGAUUCUCCCCGUUAUGUCUAGAUAGACCAGGCAGAGACAAGAAGCGUUAGUAUAAUCCUCGUUUUACAGAUGACAGAUUGGGCAGGCAGGCAGAUUAGGGCUUUUCUAUGCAGGGAAGUGACUGUGGAAUGAACUCUUGGUGUGAACUGAAAAAGCGACACCUCUCACACAGGUGGAGGCUGUAUCCAGACCAGAUGGACACUGCGCUCGGUAACACACAUUGAGUCCCCAUUGCCCGGCAGCGUGGGUGGGGGACCAGACUGGAACCCCUUUCCCUCCAGUAGCAACUGGGGUCUAGAGACAGGGAGGGCAGUGGCUCUUCUUUAUCAUAGUAAUGUUAGACAGCUACAGCUGAGCUGCUCACCCUGGGCUCCUUUGCAGUUAGCAUAAAUUAAGAGGUGCUUUGGAGGCACAUUUCACCUGAUCUCAUCUGACAUUUUGCUAAGGGUUGGAUGAAUCCCCUGCAAACCAUGCUCAAGGUGACUGCCCCAGGUGUAAAUACCCAUAGUAGACAUGAUUUUGCCGUGCAUAUGGAGUAAAUGCAUGUGCAUGGGGUAAACGUAGAUAGCUUUUCCCGUCCCUUUCCUAGUAUGGUCAAGUCCUCAGUGACUUGGCAAGGGUCACACAGAAAGACUGCGGUGGAGCUGAGGAAAGGACCAAUGCUCCAAAGCUGCAGGUUCAAUGUCCAGACAACAUGAUUCCCUUCUAAGCACAGAGGCAGAGUUGCCUGGAAAUUAGAAUUUCCGUCCUCCAGGGAAUGUCCACAUUUGCUUUCUAUUUAUCAUUCCGAAUCUGAGCAAAACUAUAAAAUUUUAAAAUAUUUGAUUUAAAACUCAUUCAGUCUGACACCACUGAAACAUUUCACUUUGAUAAUGUCAAAACUGAGUAUAACAAAUGGGCAGGCAGCAUAAAUCCCAGCACAAUAAAAUAUAACACACAUUGAAAAUGUUUCA
Struthio camelus australis is the source of this 2011-nucleotide long non-coding RNA. Lineage: Eukaryota; Metazoa; Chordata; Aves; Struthioniformes; Struthionidae. The record is from Ensembl.